GGGUUGUGAGGUUAAGCGACUAAGCGUACACGGUGGAUGCCCUGGCAGUCAGAGGCGAUGAAGGACGUGCUAAUCUGCGAUAAGCGUCGGUAAGGUGAUAUGAACCGUUAUAACCGGCGAUUUCCGAAUGGGGAAACCCAGUGUGAUUCGUCACACUAUCAUUAACUGAAUCCAUAGGUUAAUGAGGCGAACCGGGGGAACUGAAACAUCUAAGUACCCCGAGGAAAAGAAAUCAACCGAGAUUCCCCCAGUAGCGGCGAGCGAACGGGGAGGAGCCCAGAGCCUGAAUCAGUGUGUGUGUUAGUGGAAGCGUCUGGAAAGGCGCGCGAUACAGGGUGACAGCCCCGUACACAAAAAUGCACAUGCUGUGAGCUCGAUGAGUAGGGCGGGACACGUGGUAUCCUGUCUGAAUAUGGGGGGACCAUCCUCCAAGGCUAAAUACUCCUGACUGACCGAUAGUGAACCAGUACCGUGAGGGAAAGGCGAAAAGAACCCCGGCGAGGGGAGUGAAAAAGAACCUGAAACCGUGUACGUACAAGCAGUGGGAGCACGCUUCGGCGUGUGACUGCGUACCUUUUGUAUAAUGGGUCAGCGACUUAUAUUCUGUAGCAAGGUUAACCGAAUAGGGGAGCCGAAGGGAAACCGAGUCUUAACUGGGCGUUAAGUUGCAGGGUAUAGACCCGAAACCCGGUGAUCUAGCCAUGGGCAGGUUGAAGGUUGGGUAACACUAACUGGAGGACCGAACCGACUAAUGUUGAAAAAUUAGCGGAUGACUUGUGGCUGGGGGUGAAAGGCCAAUCAAACCGGGAGAUAGCUGGUUCUCCCCGAAAGCUAUUUAGGUAGCGCCUCGUGAAUUCAUCUCCGGGGGUAGAGCACUGUUUCGGCAAGGGGGUCAUCCCGACUUACCAACCCGAUGCAAACUGCGAAUACCGGAGAAUGUUAUCACGGGAGACACACGGCGGGUGCUAACGUCCGUCGUGAAGAGGGAAACAACCCAGACCGCCAGCUAAGGUCCCAAAGUCAUGGUUAAGUGGGAAACGAUGUGGGAAGGCCCAGACAGCCAGGAUGUUGGCUUAGAAGCAGCCAUCAUUUAAAGAAAGCGUAAUAGCUCACUGGUCGAGUCGGCCUGCGCGGAAGAUGUAACGGGGCUAAACCAUGCACCGAAGCUGCGGCAGCGACACUAUGUGUUGUUGGGUAGGGGAGCGUUCUGUAAGCCUGUGAAGGUGUGCUGUGAGGCAUGCUGGAGGUAUCAGAAGUGCGAAUGCUGACAUAAGUAACGAUAAAGCGGGUGAAAAGCCCGCUCGCCGGAAGACCAAGGGUUCCUGUCCAACGUUAAUCGGGGCAGGGUGAGUCGACCCCUAAGGCGAGGCCGAAAGGCGUAGUCGAUGGGAAACAGGUUAAUAUUCCUGUACUUGGUGUUACUGCGAAGGGGGGACGGAGAAGGCUAUGUUGGCCGGGCGACGGUUGUCCCGGUUUAAGCGUGUAGGCUGGUUUUCCAGGCAAAUCCGGAAAAUCAAGGCUGAGGCGUGAUGACGAGGCACUACGGUGCUGAAGUAACAAAUGCCCUGCUUCCAGGAAAAGCCUCUAAGCAUCAGGUAACAUCAAAUCGUACCCCAAACCGACACAGGUGGUCAGGUAGAGAAUACCAAGGCGCUUGAGAGAACUCGGGUGAAGGAACUAGGCAAAAUGGUGCCGUAACUUCGGGAGAAGGCACGCUGAUACGUAGGUGAAGUCCCUCGCGGAUGGAGCUGAAAUCAGUCGAAGAUACCAGCUGGCUGCAACUGUUUAUUAAAAACACAGCACUGUGCAAACACGAAAGUGGACGUAUACGGUGUGACGCCUGCCCGGUGCCGGAAGGUUAAUUGAUGGGGUCAGCGCAAGCGAAGCUCUUGAUCGAAGCCCCGGUAAACGGCGGCCGUAACUAUAACGGUCCUAAGGUAGCGAAAUUCCUUGUCGGGUAAGUUCCGACCUGCACGAAUGGCGUAAUGAUGGCCAGGCUGUCUCCACCCGAGACUCAGUGAAAUUGAACUCGCUGUGAAGAUGCAGUGUACCCGCGGCAAGACGGAAAGACCCCGUGAACCUUUACUAUAGCUUGACACUGAACAUUGAGCCUUGAUGUGUAGGAUAGGUGGGAGGCUUUGAAGUGUGGACGCCAGUCUGCAUGGAGCCGACCUUGAAAUACCACCCUUUAAUGUUUGAUGUUCUAACGUUGACCCGUGAUCCGGGUUGCGGACAGUGUCUGGUGGGUAGUUUGACUGGGGCGGUCUCCUCCUAAAGAGUAACGGAGGAGCACGAAGGUUGGCUAAUCCUGGUCGGACAUCAGGAGGUUAGUGCAAUGGCAUAAGCCAGCUUGACUGCGAGCGUGACGGCGCGAGCAGGUGCGAAAGCAGGUCAUAGUGAUCCGGUGGUUCUGAAUGGAAGGGCCAUCGCUCAACGGAUAAAAGGUACUCCGGGGAUAACAGGCUGAUACCGCCCAAGAGUUCAUAUCGACGGCGGUGUUUGGCACCUCGAUGUCGGCUCAUCACAUCCUGGGGCUGAAGUAGGUCCCAAGGGUAUGGCUGUUCGCCAUUUAAAGUGGUACGCGAGCUGGGUUUAGAACGUCGUGAGACAGUUCGGUCCCUAUCUGCCGUGGGCGCUGGAGAACUGAGGGGGGCUGCUCCUAGUACGAGAGGACCGGAGUGGACGCAUCACUGGUGUUCGGGUUGUCAUGCCAAUGGCACUGCCCGGUAGCUAAAUGCGGAAGAGAUAAGUGCUGAAAGCAUCUAAGCACGAAACUUGCCCCGAGAUGAGUUCUCCCUGACUCCUUGAGAGUCCUGAAGGAACGUUGAAGACGACGACGUUGAUAGGCCGGGUGUGUAAGCGCAGCGAUGCGUUGAGCUAACCGGUACUAAUGAACCGUGAGGCUUAACCUUACAACGCCGAAGCUGUU
Molecule: ribosomal RNA, 2929 nt
Filed under: Escherichia coli
Lineage: Bacteria; Pseudomonadati; Pseudomonadota; Gammaproteobacteria; Enterobacterales; Enterobacteriaceae
Description: bacterial LSU rRNA
Rfam family: Bacterial large subunit ribosomal RNA
Source: RNAcentral